CUUUCUUUUAUUUCUCUUUGUUCACAUAUUCUAAAAAUAUUUCAUCAAUGGCAUCUAUCAAAUCAGUUAAAGUUCCUACUAUAGAUUUUUCCAAUUAUCAAGAGCUAAAACCAAACACUCCACUAUGGGAAUCCACAAAAAUUCAAGUUUUUGAAGCUUUUCAAGAAUAUGGUUGUUUUGAAGCAAUAUAUGAUAAAGUUCCAAAUGAAAUUAGAGAGGAAACAUUUGAUAUGUCAAAAGAAAUAUUUGAAUUUCCUUUAGAUACUAAAGUGAAAAAUAUUUCAGAAAAACCAAUGCAUGGAUAUAUGGGAAUGAUUCCACAAUUGCCAUUGUAUGAGAGUUUGUGUAUUCCUGAUUUGCUUAAUCCUCAAAGUCUUCAAAAUUUUGCUAAUAUCUUUUGGCCUCAGGGUAAUCAACAUUUCUGCAAUUUGGUAAAGUCUUAUUCUAAUCCACUUGUGGAAUUGGAUGAGAUUUUGAAAAGGAUGAUUUCGGAGAAUUUGAGAUUAAAAAUUCACAUUGAUGAAUUGUUGAAUGCCAAUUAUUUCCUAUUUAGAUUUACACAUUACAAGGGAUCAUCAAUUACUGGUGGAGAUGAGAAUAACAAAGUUGCUGGAUUGGGUGGCCACACAGAUGGUAACUUCUUGACUUUUAUAUCGCAAAAUCAAGUCAAUGGAUUGCAAAUCAACAAAAAUGGAGAAUGGAUUGAUGUGAAUAUUUCACCAAAUUCUUAUGUUGUUUUGGCUGGUGAUUCCUUCAAAGCUUGGACAAAUGGUCGAUUGCAUUCUCCUCUUCACAGAGUAACAAUGUCCGGAGAAAAUGAUAGACUCUCCAUUCAAUUAUUUUCAUUAUCAAAACCAGGUCACUUCAUCGAGGCACCAAAAGAACUAGUGGAUGAAGAACACCCUUUACUCUUCAAGCCAUUUGAAAUUAUUGGAUUAUUUGAGUAUGGUACCACAGAAGCUGGCUAUACAGCUCCUCCAAGUGAUCUUCUCAAGAGUUAUUGCGGUGUUUGAUAUGCUAAUUGCGAAUUUCCGCUUCAGCAACCAACUUUUCUAAUAAGUUUCGUCUGAAAUUCGUGUUGUUUUAAUUAUUAUGCAUUUUAUGUUUGAAUUGUUGCAGUUGGCAAUUCAUGUUUAAUUUGUUUUUGUUUUUUUGAGAAAAUAUUUCCAAUGGGUUUCGUUGGAAAUUCGUCUUGUUUUUUUUUUUCAAGUAGUGUACAUCUUAUUUUUGGAUUGUUGAUGUUGAGCGCUAAUGUUUAAUUUGUUUGUGUUUUGAAGAGGAUGAUUAUACUCUUUAAGAGGAUUCACCGUAAUCUUUUAGUAUUAUUUGGUUUUAGAAAAGUAUAUCAUAUGAACAUUUUAUAUUAAAUUGAACUUAAGUCAU
RNAcentral lists this unclassified non-coding RNA (1383 nucleotides) under Hevea brasiliensis (rubber tree). The record is from RNAcentral. Lineage: Eukaryota; Viridiplantae; Streptophyta; Magnoliopsida; Malpighiales; Euphorbiaceae.